RNAcentral lists this unclassified non-coding RNA (1526 nucleotides) under Leishmania donovani. RNAcentral describes it as "gene:LdHU3.15.1400(CDS-product:tryparedoxin_perox idase)". The record is from RNAcentral. Lineage: Eukaryota; Euglenozoa; Kinetoplastea; Trypanosomatida; Trypanosomatidae.
GAUCACCGCUCGUAUAUAUCCAUCGGCUCCCAACCCAUAUUCGCCCUCGCCUCACGCACACGCCCCUCUCCCAGCGCUCUCCACACCCAUCUUUGUUUUCUCCCUCCCCGCGCCCCCCUCGCAGCCACCAGCCAGCCAUGUCCUGCGGUGACGCCAAGAUCAACUGUCCCGCGCCGCCCUUCGAGGAGGUGGCGCUCAUGCCCAACGGCAGCUUCAAGAAGAUCAGCCUCGCCGCCUACAAGGGCAAGUGGGUCGUGCUCUUCUUCUACCCGCUCGACUUCACCUUCGUGUGCCCGACAGAGAUCAUCGCGUUCUCCGAAAACGUGAGUCGCUUCAACGAGCUCAACUGCGAGGUCCUCGCGUGCUCCAUGGACAGCGAGUACGCGCACCUGCAGUGGACGCUGCAGGACCGCAAGAAGGGCGGCCUCGGCGCCAUGGCGAUUCCAAUGCUGGCCGACAAGACCAAGAGCAUCGCUCGUGCCUACGGCGUGCUGGAGGAGAAACAGGGCGUGGCCUACCGCGGUCUCUUCAUCAUCGACCCCAAUGGCAUGGUGCGCCAGAUCACCGUCAACGACAUGCCGGUGGGCCGCAACGUGGAGGAGGUUCUGCGCCUGCUGGAGGCUUUUCAGUUCGUGGAGAAGCACGGCGAGGUGUGCCCCGCGAACUGGAAGAAGGGCGCCCCCACGAUGAAGCCGGAGCCGAAGGCGUCUGUCGAGGGGUACUUCAGCAAGCUGUGAGGCGCGGUGCUUGCUGCCCCGCCGUGCGCACCUGGCUCGACCACUGGUCGCAUCCACGGGUGCGUGUCAUUUUUCUAUUGGCGGGCAAGUGCCCGAACGGGCUCUCCGUGUCCUCGGCUCCCCCUCCCCCCUCCCCCCUAUCGGAACGACAGCGGUGCCAUGCCACUGUGGCCUCCGUCCCCGACCCCGUCGGCCACCGCCCACCCCCUCCCUGUAUGUGGGUGCGCUACGCUCGCAGUCGCGUGUUGCUUCGUGGCGUUUUAGUUUUGUUGUCUUGCACGUGUGCGUCUCCGCGGGGCGGUUUUUGGUCUUCGACUUUGAUCUCUUCUCCGUCAUGGCGCUCGGUGAGGCGCGCGCGCACACACACAAGCAUGUGUUGUGGAGACUAGAAAGGCAUCGACUGUGGUGCUCGGGUACGGGAUGUAGAUGGUCAUGAAGACUGGGCUGAGGGGGACCACAGAGGAGCGCAUGUGGAAAGGGAGAAAGGGCCGCUGUCUUGGAUGGGGAAGUUUCCCUUAAUGUAUUUCACCCUGCCCUGUCCUUCCCGUCACCCAGCGCCAUCCACCUCACCUUGCGCCUCCCUCCCUCUCGCACCUACUUCUCACGAUGCAGCAUGUUUGCAUAUGCCGAGGCCAAGGAUGGCCGUGUGUUAGCGUGUCUGCGUCUCUCUGCGGAGCUCGUGUGCGUGUGUUUGUGCAGCCUUCCUAGUGGAUUGCCACCGAAGUUCUUCCUGUUGUUGUGUGUUCUUUUAUUUUCAGGAGUGGUGCGUCCCGCUGUGGCGCUGGAAAC